Molecule: ribosomal RNA, 481 nt
Filed under: uncultured bacterium
Lineage: Bacteria
Description: partial 16S ribosomal RNA
Rfam family: Bacterial small subunit ribosomal RNA
Source: RNAcentral
GAUGAACGCUGGCGGCGUGCUUAACACAUGCAAGUCGAACGAAGCACUUUAUUUGAUUUCCUUCGGGACUGAUUAUUUUGUGACUGAGUGGCGGACGGGUGAGUAACGCGUGGGUAACCUGCCUUGUACAGGGGGAUAACAGUUGGAAACGGCUGCUAAUACCGCAUAAGCGCACAGCAUCGCAUGAUGCAGUGUGAAAACCUCCGGUGGUAUAAGAUGGACCCGCGUUGGAUUAGCUAGUUGGUGAGGUAACGGCCCACCAAGGCGACGUUCCAUAGCCGACCUGAGAGGGUGACCGGCCACAUUGGGACUGAGACACGGCCCAAACUCCUACGGGAGGCAGCAGUGGGGAAUAUUGCACAAUGGGCGAAAGCCUGAUGCAGCGACGCCGCGUGAGCGAAGAAGUAUUUCGGUAUGUAAAGCUCUAUCAGCAGGGAAGAUAAUGACGGUACCUGACUAAGAAGCACCGGCUAAAUACGUG